This 444-nucleotide long non-coding RNA is filed under the name Triticum aestivum (bread wheat). RNAcentral's name for it is "long non-coding RNA (TAES_LNC018661)". The record is from RNAcentral. Lineage: Eukaryota; Viridiplantae; Streptophyta; Magnoliopsida; Poales; Poaceae.
UAGGUAGAAAGAAGAUCCAGGGCUAGCUCCCGCGGACUUUGUUCAUUCAUCCUAGUAUUAUCGGUGUCACCCGCCCCCGACUCUUCUAGAUUCUGCUGCCACGAUUGUUCCCCAUGCGAUUCUAAUCCGACUGUUCAUCCAGAGAUCGGGUGGCUGUGCUAUAGGCUACUUGGUAGUGUUCUCCCGUGUAGGUGUAGAUUCAGAGCUGUUGCAACUGCGCCUUAUGUACAGAUCUACUGCUCCUUAGUGUGGCUGCUGGACCUUAUGUAGACUUGUAGUGAUGUGGGGAAGGAUUAUCUGAUGCAACAUAUGCAGGAAGUACAAUUUCUGGAUCAGGUUUCGCGAAGAAUUUCUUAGAGCUGUCUGGUUCGAUCAAUCACGUUGAGUCUUGUCUUCUGCAGUUUGUUUUGGGUCGAGUAAAUUUUAGAUCGUUAUGUUUCUGCA